RNA transcript from Lathyrus oleraceus (garden pea), 2317 nucleotides. RefSeq lists it as uncharacterized. The transcript has 2 exons. Lineage: Eukaryota; Viridiplantae; Streptophyta; Magnoliopsida; Fabales; Fabaceae. The record is from RefSeq and is a predicted model, not a curated record.
UGUGAGAGUCAACAUGAAUCACUAGCAUUCAAACAAGUGCAUGGGAAUGGUUAGUCAAUACAAUUGGAUGGGACUUUUAAAUGCACAUGGAAUAAUAGUUAUGGGGAUUAAUGGCUCAACAUCAAAACGUGUGAAUGGAGAAUAUAAUAAAGAGAAACAUAACAAAUGAAAAGCCAUCAUGUUCUCACUAUCCCUCAGCCAGUCGUUGUCUCCACCGCGCCAGAGGCUCCCUCGGCUGUAAAGAUUUUCCAUAAAUCCGAAAUUCAAUCAUGAAUCCCUCCCUCUCAAAGUCCUCUACACAUAUCCAAUCUCAGUUUUCUCAGAUUCCUAACAAAUCAUACAAAUCGAGCUUAUCAAUGCAAGAACCCUAGCCACAGAUUUUGAAAUUAAAUGCUGGAUUGGAGGAAUAAAAGUCCCUAAGGUUAGGGAUUUGAUUCCUUGAUUUCUACUCUUCGUUAUGGUAACUAUAAUUAUGCCAACUGGUGAAGAAAACAUCACUUACCUACCGGAGACUAAGAUUGGAGAUCGGAGCAGAUGUGCGAGCGUUGACGAUGAAAUCUUCAAGUAAAGACUUGACUUUUUCUUCCCUUCUUUCCUCUGCUUAUUCUUCUUUCUUCUUUCUCUGUGGUUGCCAUAUUCCAGUGUGCAAGCUCGAAAUACGUAUGAUAGUGAUUAUGAUUAGGGAUGAGGAGGAGGACGAGCUCAACUAUGAGAGCUUCCAACGUUGAAGCUCUAUAGUUAUGGAAAUGAGCGUGUAGUGAAGGUGAGUUCAGAGAGAGAUAGGAUCAAAUUAGGAAUCAGAGAGACUUUUGAGAGCUCUGAGAUUUUGUGUGUUAUGAUGAAUUGAAUGAAGAAUCUUUGGAUGUGUGUGUGUGAUGUUUAAUUUAUAGAGCUCGAAUUCAGUUACGAAAUGCUCAUGCAAUUGCCCUCAAAAUCACUCAAAAUCAGUAGUUAGUUAUAAAUGAAAUAGUUAGUUGAAUUUUCAAAUUGAAAUAAAGUGUAAAAGAAAUGAAGUUUUAGUGAACUGAACUUCUGUUAGUUAGUAAAAAUUCGGUUACAAUUCGAAACAAAUUUCCUGUUAGCUUUUUCGUUUGGAUCCAGUUAGUUAGUUAUCCCAGUUAGUUGCAGUUAAAUAGUGAGUUAGUUAGCUGUGAAACUCGAGUGAGUUAGUUAAUGAAUCAGUUAAUUGGAACCUCUGAGUUAGCUGGUUUAUGAAUGAUAGGCUUUGAUAAAAUUUUGUUAUAUGUUCAGUUGGUGAAAUGAAACUCAAUUUCUGUUAGUGAUAUGUUGCUAUGCGAACUGAAUUUUGCUAUGCAUAUGCUGAUAAAUCAUGCCCGUGUAAUUGAUGGAUGCUUGUUAGUAGUAUGCCUAUGAUGCUAAGUAAACUAUAAUUGGGAUGUUGUUUCUGUUAUGUAAUGUCAUGUGCUAGGUCAUGUGCUAUUAGAAAUGUAUGGUAUGCUUGAUUGGUUUUUGCUAGGUUGUGAAGAUGAUAUGCAUCCAUGUGCAUUUGAAUGUUUUGUUUCCUGUCACAGCCGAAUCUGGAGCAAGAAGUCGGAGCAAGAAGUUGUAUGUCAUCAAGGCUUGCUCAUCCACCUAACUAUUGCAGAACCUAAUGCUAGGCAUACUAUAGCAUAACUUCAUGGUUCAAUUCUAACUGGAAUUAUUCUUGAUAUUUCACGGUUUAUGUAUUUUGUGAAGUGAUUCUGAUUUGUAACUGUAUAGCCCUUUGGCAUGACAUUAUCCAUUGUUGUGCUAGGUAUGAUGUAAGCUUGGCAUUGAUGUUUUAAAUCUAACUAUGUUCUCUCUACAGCAAGUGAUCAAGAUUCAUGUUUGCUAAUUUUCUUUGUCAUUCAAGUCUGACUUUGUUUAUGCAUUGCCUUGGUUUUGUUUGCAGCAUGAUGCGUCAUUGUAUACUGUUGUUGCAAGUCAGUUUUGGCAGGGUUCUGCAGCCUAUGUACUCAUGCUGACAUUGCAUUGCAGGGAGUUCCAUUUUUCUCAGGUUCAUGCAUGCCAUGUUCUGACUUUGGCUCAUGCAAGUCAUUUGGAUAAUGUACCAUCAAGAUUGGAUCUUGGACUAUCAUGUACAGAAUGCAAGCAUUCAAGGGUCAAUGAUCAAAGAAUGGAGAUUAUGGAUGGAAAUAGGAUUAGGGUUAGGAAAAUGAGGGUUUUGGGGAAUUGGGUUAACUUUGGUCAAAGUUGACCAAAAAGUCAAUUGUUGACCAAAGUCAACAUUUUGUCAGUAUUCCCAAAUUUUCGUAUUAUAUUCAUGUAAUGGACACUCUGAUUUACGAAUGGAAAUUGAUGUUUUUGACAAUAA